CAACAGGGAUUGCCCUAGUAACGGCGAGUGAAGCGGCAACAGCUCAAUUUGAAAUCUGGCUCUUUCAGAGUCCGAGUUGUAAUUUGCAGAGGGCGCUUUGGCUUUGGCAGCGGUCCAAGUUCCUUGGAACAGGACGUCACAGAGGGUGAGAAUCCCGUACGUGGUCGCUAGCUAUUGCCGUGUAAAGCCCCUUCGACGAGUCGAGUUGUUUGGGAAUGCAGCUCUAAAUGGGAGGUAAAUUUCUUCUAAAGCUAAAUAUUGGCCAGAGACCGAUAGCGCACAAGUAGAGUGAUCGAAAGAUGAAAAGCACUUUGGAAAGAGAGUCAAACAGCACGUGAAAUUGUUGAAAGGGAAGCGCUUGCAGCCAGACUUGCUUGCAGUUGCUCAUCCGGGCUUUUGCCCGGUGCACUCUUCUGUAGGCAGGCCAGCAUCAGUUUGGGCGGUGGGAUAAAGGUCUCUGUCACGUACCUUCCUUCGGGUUGGCCUUAUAGGGGAGACGCCAUACCACCAGCCUGGACUGAGGUCCGCGCAUCUGCUAGGAUGCUGGCGUAAUGGCUGUAAGCGGCCCGUCUUGAAACACGGACCAAGGAGUCUAACAUCUAUGCGAGUGUUUGGGUGUCAAGCCCGAACGCGUAAUGAAAGUGAACGGAGGUGGGAACCCGCAAGGGUGCACCAUCGACCGAUCCUGAAGUUUACGGAAGGAUUUGAGUAAGAGCAUGGCUGUUGGGACCCGAAAGAUGGUGAACUAUGCUUGAAUAGGGUGAAGCCAGAGGAAACUCUGGUGGAGGCUCGCAGCGGUUCUGACGUGCAAAUCGAUCGUCAAAUUUGGGCAUAGGGGCGAAAGACUAAUCGA
RNAcentral lists this ribosomal RNA (853 nucleotides) under Curvularia pseudobrachyspora. RNAcentral describes it as "partial 28S ribosomal RNA". It matches the Rfam family "Eukaryotic large subunit ribosomal RNA", at positions 66 to 938 of the family's 3401-position model. The record is from RNAcentral. Lineage: Eukaryota; Fungi; Ascomycota; Dothideomycetes; Pleosporales; Pleosporaceae.